CCUGGUUGUAUCGUAACCAUUUUAAUGUCAGGCGCCGUCCUUUAUUAAUUCAACCCGAGACGGGAAAAAGUUAAGUAGAAUAAAAAAGGAGUUAAAACAAGUGUAGGCGAGAUGGUCUAGUGGUAACGACAAAGUGUUGUAAGUGCGAGAAGCCAGGUUCGAUUCCUGGUGUGUCAUAAGCUUUUUAAUGUCAGGCGACGUCCUUAAUUAAUUCCACCCGAGACGGGAAAAAGUUAAGUAGAAUAAAAAAGGAGUUACAGCAAGUGCCGGCGAGAUGGUCUAGUGGUAACGACAAAGUGUUGCAAGUGUGUGAAGCCAGGUUCGAUUCCUGGUUCUGUUAAGAACAUUUUAAUGUCAGGCGCAUUCCUUAAUUAUUCCACCCGAGACGGGAAAACGUUAAGUAAAAUAAAAAGGAAGUUAAAGCGAGCGUAGGCGAGAUGGUUUAGUGGCAAGGACAAAGUGUUGCAAGUGCAUGAAGCCAGUGUCGAUUCCUGCUGUAGACAAACAGCAUUUUAAUGUCAGACAUCGUCCUUUAUUAAUUCCACCCGAGACGGGAAAACGUUAAGUAAAAUAAAAAGGGAGUUAAAGCAAGUGUAGGCGGGAUGGUCUAGAGGUAACGACAAAGUGUUGCAAGUGUUUGAAGCCAGGAUCGAUUCUUGCUGUAGUCAACGGCCAUUUUAAUCGAGGGAACCUUUUCCUGACGCUGAGGAUAAAGUACCUGACGCUGAGGACAAGGUUCCUGACGCUGAGAAAUUUCGAACCUUUUGUUCUAUUGAAUUUCAAGGCCCCUUGUAGCAAAAACUUGAAUUUGCCACGGUCUGAAAAUUGUAUUUCUGGAAUCUACGUUCGGUAGGCUUUCUGUCGAUACCUCAUUCUUCCAUAACAAGAAAGUUCGUGAACAUAAAAAGCAAG
Non-coding RNA from Paramuricea clavata, 912 nucleotides. Lineage: Eukaryota; Metazoa; Cnidaria; Anthozoa; Malacalcyonacea; Plexauridae. The record is from the annotation of a GenBank genome assembly.